Molecule: ribosomal RNA, 497 nt
Filed under: uncultured bacterium
Lineage: Bacteria
Description: partial 16S ribosomal RNA
Rfam family: Bacterial small subunit ribosomal RNA
Source: RNAcentral
GACGAACGCUGGCGGCGUGCCUAAUACAUGCCAGUCGAGCGCUGAAGCCCUGUAUUUGUGCCAACUGGAUGAGCAGCGAACGGGUGAGUAACGCGUGGGAAAUCUGCCUUUGAGCGGGGGACAACAUUUGGAAACGAAUGCUAAUACCGCAUAAGAACUUUAAACACAAGGUUUAAGUGUGAAAGAUGCAAUUGCAUCACUCAAAGACGAUCCCGCGUUGUAUUAGCUAGUUGGUGAGGUAAAGGCUCACCAAGGCGGUGAUAGAUAGCCGAACUGAGAGGGUGGUCGGCCACCGUGGGAGGGAGACACGGCCCAAAGGCCUACGGGAAGGAGCAGUAGGGAAACUUCGGCAAUGGACGAGAGUCUUGCCGAACAGGGCCGCGUCAGUGAAGAAGGGUGUCGGAUCGUGAAACUCGGUUUGUGGGGAAGAACGCUGGUGAGAGUGGAAAGCUCAUCAAGUGACGGUAACUACUCAGAAAGCAACGGCUAACUACGUG